UUUAUUCCAUGAGUGGUUGUGUGUUUUUUUUAUUUCCGAAAUUGGAGAAUUAAGAUUUGUAUAAUAUCGGAAUAUGGAAUGAAAGAAUGAGCGAGGCGAGGAUUGGGAGGAUGAAGCAAAAGACAACACGGGUGGCACUAGGGACACUAAUUGGUCGGGAGUUGAGGGAUGAUAAUGUCGAGCUACAUUAAUGGACCUGUUAAUUGCAUGUGGUAUAGCUACAUUAUCAGUUUUUUUUUUUGUAUGAAUAUUUGUUUCUCUUGAAUAGAUUUUUGAUGGGCAUAAAUCAUAAAGGUGUAUUGGUUGCUAUCUUCGGUAAAGAAAAUCAAUUAAACAAUGUCUUGAGUGCUAUCCCUCAAGGAAUUGGUAGGGAACAAUAGCUUCAAGCAUUUCCUCAAGCACCAGUUGCAAUUUUUGUGAAAACUAAUGAAGAGUUUCAGCAAAAAGGCAAGCUGCAAUCUCUGGUUUUAAUAUUUCUUUUGCCAGAAAACGGGUUAGGUUUGGGUUGAGUGGGUCUUUUUAUUUGAUAAAAGAAUUGUGGACCAAUGAAAAUUGGCCACUUGUUUAGUACAAUUCCAUGUCAUAUUUCUGUUAACUAAAGGACAUUUUUUAACCUAAAGAAAACAUUAAGGGCAUUUCAAAAACCACUAGGUGGAAGGAGAGCAUUUUUGAACAAUUUCUAAUAGGUUAAGGGCAUUUUUGAGCCUUUUCCCUUUGAUAUAUUGUGUCUCAGUUUCAGAUACAUCACUCAACGUACCAAUAUAUCGCAAUUCAAUUUUAGAUACACCACUCAAUGUCAUGAUACAUCACGUAAAGUGAUGUAUUCGAGAAUAGAAUAGAGUAUGAAUUUUUGUAAUUUUUCAAAUGAUAAAAAUCUUUUGAAAAUAUGAUAAAAUAAAUUGUGUAUUUAGAUAUUUGUUCUUUUAUCAGAAUAAAAAAAGAGAGUGUAAUGAAUGUCGUUCCUCUCUACUGACCCAAAUUUUGAACUUUUUCUUGAAUAGGAAUACUUCCAAUACUUUUAUGCAUCUUACAUUUAAAAUUAAAAAAACAAUUAUAAAAUAUAAGGUAUCAAAAUGUUGAAGGAUGUAUUCGAAAUCAGUACGCGAUGUAUCAUGAUUUAAGAAUUUUUUUUAAUUUGAAAAAAAAGUAAGAAUAGCACUAUGUGCUUGUGUAAAAUUCUCUGAUGAUAAUGGUCGAUUCUAAUGAAUAGGUUAUGAAGUAACCUUUUAGAGAUAGCCCUUUACAAAAAGAUGAAGAAAUUUGAAAAGGCAAUUUUCUUCUAUUUGUUUGCUAAGUGGCCAAGAGAUCUUGAUUCCUCUUUACUAGUCAGUUGAUUAAUAAAAAGAUGGUUUCAGAAUAUGUUGGAUUUACAAUGUCACUAGAUAUAUCAUUAGAAAUGUGAUGUAAUAAUCUAUGAAUACUCUGCAGCUGCAAUGUACAUAUGAAUUACCAGAUUAUUAACUAGUUUUACUUGAGAGGCUUGUUUUUAUCAAAGUAAACAACUGUUAUUGAACUAUCACUUUUAUUUGAGUUAAUUACAGUUCUCCUUAUAAUUGAAUGCUUCAACACAAAGUUAAUUGUACACCAGAAUAAAUGUAACAGGGGUGUGCGAAGGGAAGACAUUGCUGGUGUUUUUAAGAUACGACCUUUUCAAUCAAUCGUGUACCACAAUAAUAAGAGGGAAAGAUCUACCGGUCAUCAAAUAGAGAAACUGGAUACCCUUCCAUGCUUGCCAUUUCCAUGACCUCCUU
Molecule: long non-coding RNA, 1751 nt
Filed under: Solanum tuberosum (potato)
Lineage: Eukaryota; Viridiplantae; Streptophyta; Magnoliopsida; Solanales; Solanaceae
Description: long non-coding RNA (STUB_LNC004887)
Source: RNAcentral